AGUUAGGGAGUGGCAAAGGUAUAUGCGGCCAACCCCGCCAGGUCCGGAAGGAAGCAACGGUAACUGUCACUGCUUUGUGCCAUUUUCCUAACUGCC
RNAcentral lists this signal recognition particle RNA (96 nucleotides) under Bacteriovorax sp. Its description in RNAcentral is "signal recognition particle sRNA small type". It matches the Rfam family "Bacterial small signal recognition particle RNA". Rfam says of the family: The signal recognition particle (SRP) is a universally conserved ribonucleoprotein involved in the co-translational targeting of proteins to membranes. Archaeal SRP consists of a 7S RNA and homologues of the eukaryotic SRP19 and SRP54 proteins. Lineage: Bacteria; Pseudomonadati; Bdellovibrionota; Bacteriovoracia; Bacteriovoracales; Bacteriovoracaceae. The record is from RNAcentral.